Molecule: ribosomal RNA, 508 nt
Filed under: uncultured Glomeraceae
Lineage: Eukaryota; Fungi; Glomeromycota; Glomeromycetes; Glomerales; Glomeraceae
Description: SSU rRNA
Rfam family: Eukaryotic small subunit ribosomal RNA
Source: RNAcentral
AGCAGCCGCGGUAAUUCCAGCUCCAAUAGCGUAUAUUAAAGUUGUUGCAGUUAAAAAGCUCGUAGUUGAAUUUCGGGAUCGAUACGUCGGUCGUGCCUUCGGUACGCACUGGCGUUUAUCGAUUUCUCCCUUCUGACGAACCAUGAUGUCAUUAAUUUGGUGUUAUGGGGAAUCAGGACUGUUACUUUGAAAAAUUAGAGUGUUUAAAGCAGGCAUUAGCUUGAAUACAUUAGCAUGGAAUAAUGAAAUAGGACGUUCGAACCUAUUUUGUUGGUUUCUAGGAUCAACGUAAUGAUUAAUAGGGAUAGUUGGGGGCAUUAGUAUUCAAUUGUCAGAGGUGAAAUUCUUGGAUUUAUUGAAGACUAACUACUGCGAAAGCAUUUGCCAAGGAUGUUUUCAUUAAUCAAGAACGAAAGUUAGGGGAUCGAAGACGAUCAGAUACCGUCGUAGUCUUAACCAUAAACUAUGCCGACUAGGGAUCGGAUGAUGUUAAUUUUUAAUGUACUCA